GACGAACCGAGCGAACGUUGUUCGGAAUCACUGGGCUUAAAGGGCGCGUAGGCGGGCAUUUAAGUCUGUGGUGAAAUCCUCCGGCUCAACCGGAGAACUGCCUCGGAUACUGAGUGUCUCGAGGGUGAUAGGGGUAUGCGGAACUAUCGGUGGAGCGGUGAAAUGCGUAGAUAUCGUGAGGAAGACCAGUGGCGAAGGCGGAUCUCUGGACCGUUACUGACGCUGAGGCGCGAAGGCCAGGGGAGCAAACGGG
RNAcentral lists this ribosomal RNA (253 nucleotides) under uncultured bacterium. Its description in RNAcentral is "partial 16S ribosomal RNA". It matches the Rfam family "Bacterial small subunit ribosomal RNA", at positions 524 to 776 of the family's 1533-position model. The record is from RNAcentral.